UUCUGGUUCGUCUUCUCCGGCGAGGGCAGGCGGCUAGGGUUUGGGGUCUGGUGUGGGGGUCUUAUUUAUACCCUUUUGCCUUUUGAUCUUAGCCGUCCAUUUUGAUUUAAUCUGGGCCGUCUGUGCGAUUAGAUCUGGGCCGUCCGUGCGAUUAAAUCUGGGCCGUCCGUGCGCGCGAUUGAUCUGGGCUGUCCGAUCGCGCGCACGCGGAUCGCCAACGUGGCCCGUCCCCGGUCGACGUGGUUUUGCCACGUGGCAGGUCCUGGUUGGCCAGGACUGCUGACGUGGCUGCUGACGUGGCACGCGCGUUUUUUUUUUUUUGUUUUUUUGUUUUUCUUCAAUUUCCCCGGGCGCUACAACUCUCCCCCCCUUAAAGAAAUUUGGUCCCCAAAUUUGCCUCGUUACUCUUGAUCGAACAGAUGGGGAUAUUGGGCCCUAAAUUCUGAUUCCAGUUCCCAGGUGGCCUCCCUGGGCGUGUGGUUCUGCCACACGACUUUUACAAAUGAUAUUUUCCGGUUGCGGAGUAUUCUCCUCUCUCGGUCCGUGAUACCGACC
RNAcentral lists this long non-coding RNA (555 nucleotides) under Carica papaya (papaya). RNAcentral describes it as "long non-coding RNA (CPAP_LNC014691)". The record is from RNAcentral. Lineage: Eukaryota; Viridiplantae; Streptophyta; Magnoliopsida; Brassicales; Caricaceae.